CGUUUAAAUUAGAACACUCAGAGUCUGAACUAUAUGCAGAUGACACAACUUUGCAUAUAUCGUCCAAAUAUAUUUCAAACUUAAACUCUUAUUUAAAUAAAGACUUUGAAAACGUAAUUGAAUGGUGUGCUAUAAACAAUAUGAUAAUAAAUAACAAGAAGUCCAAAUGUAUGCUUAUGGGAUCUGAGAGAAAAUUUGAGAAUUGUAACGAUGUCUUGUGUGUAUUAUCGCAAAAUCAAACUGCAUUUGACAAUGUGGAAGUAGAAAAACUUCUUGGUAUCCAUAUUGAUAAAAAAUCUAUCAUGGUCAAUUCACAUAGAUAAAGUAUGUAAAAUAUUUUCAAGCAGAUUAUACCUGAUAAAAAGAUUAAAACGAUAUACUUACCUCGCAAAUGUCUUAUCCUUUUUUUUAUAAUAGUUCUAUAUUACCAAAAAAAUUAUUAUUGUUGCACCAUAUGGGGUUUUACCACAAAUUGCAACAUUGAGCGGAUUCAUAAACUACAAAAGCGCACAGCAAGAUUAAUUUUGAAUAAGCCUUUUGAUUAUCCCGAGGGUAUCACCAGCCCAGUAGUCAACACUUCGGUGUUGACAUGAAUAUCAAUAAUGUGGUCAUUUUUAUAAAUUUCCUGUUUACAAAACUUUGAAUUAUUCGUAAAUCUAAGGAUUUUCUUAUCACAGGCAUAGAUUACCUUAGCCGUAUUUGGCACAACUUUUUGGAAUUUUGGAUCCUCAAUGCUCUUCAACUUUGUACUUGUUUGGCUUUAUGAAUAUAUUGAUAUGAGCGUCACUGAUGAGUCUUAUAUAGACAAAACGCGCGUCUGGCGUAAUAAAUUAUAAUCCUGGUACUUUUGAUAACUAUUAAAUGUAUAAAUGGACUCGCGCCAGAUUAUCUUACAAGUUAAUUUACUGCAUGCAGUGAUCUAUAUAGUUAUUCUCUUAGGUCAACAACAUCUGGACAUCUUCAUAUACCAAGGCCAA
RNAcentral lists this long non-coding RNA (977 nucleotides) under Mytilus galloprovincialis (Mediterranean mussel). The record is from RNAcentral. Lineage: Eukaryota; Metazoa; Mollusca; Bivalvia; Mytilida; Mytilidae.